RNAcentral lists this long non-coding RNA (480 nucleotides) under Hordeum vulgare. Its description in RNAcentral is "long non-coding RNA (HVUL_LNC002864)". The record is from RNAcentral. Lineage: Eukaryota; Viridiplantae; Streptophyta; Magnoliopsida; Poales; Poaceae.
GGAUCAUUUUUAUGAUAAUGAACAUGUUUUUGGAAUAUUAUAUUUCAUUUAUAAUUUACUUUGCACUGCUUUUCGGGCUAGGCCCAUUGAAAGACUUGCCCGGCACACACACACGCAACACGCACAAACUUGAUCUUUCUUCCCAUUCUCCAUUCUUCUUCUCUACCUCAAUGCCCUCGUUGCCUCCUUGUUCCUGUCGUUCUUCACGUGUCAUUAUGUAACUCUUAAAAUCAAAAAAAUCAACGACAAGAAACUGUAAAAUAACUAUUGAUAAAAAAAAUCAAUGACAAGCAACUAUAAAAUAAAUAUUGAUCAACAUAGUACACGACUAGGUAAUACUUGUGAUUUCCACAAUAUUAUCAUGUCAUAACCCACAAACAUUAAAAAAAAAGCACUUCAUCACCUCUUAUACUUGGCAACCCAAAAAAAUGUAAAUCAUGACAAGAUCCAAAAGAAUUUACAUGUGGUGAAGAACUUCUU